RNAcentral lists this non-coding RNA (163 nucleotides) under Elusimicrobiota bacterium. RNAcentral's name for it is "Elusimicrobia bacterium (aquatic metagenome) 6S RNA". It matches the Rfam family "6S / SsrS RNA". From Rfam's summary of the family: E. coli 6S RNA was the first non coding RNA to be sequenced, but its function was unknown until recently. It consists of 184 nucleotides that fold into an extended hairpin structure with a large single-stranded internal bulge. The record is from RNAcentral. Lineage: Bacteria; Pseudomonadati; Elusimicrobiota.
UAAACCCUGCGAUGUUGGUGUGAGGUUGCCUGGUUUGAGCCUACAAUCGUGAACCCGGGAAUCCGUGGUCACCCCCCGACUAAAUACGUCGGGGGGGCAGGAUACCCACUUAUAUCAUUGGUGUUCAAAACUGGACUAUCUCCACGGCAUUGGCAGGGUUUUU